AAAUUGAAGAGUUUGAUCAUGGCUCAGAUUGAACGCUGGCGGCAGGCCUAACACAUGCAAGUUGAACGGUAACAGGAAGCAGCUUGCUGCUUUGCUGACGAGUGGCGGACGGGUGAGUAAUGUCUGGGAAACUGCCUGAUGGAGGGGGAUAACUACUGGAAACGGUGGCUAAUACCGCAUAACGUCGCAAGACCAAAGAGGGGGACCUUCGGGCCUCUUGCCAUCAGAUGUGCCCAGAUGGGAUUAGCUUGUUGGUAAGGUAACGGCUCACCAAGGCGACGAUCCCUAGCUGGUCUGAGAGGAU
Molecule: ribosomal RNA, 304 nt
Filed under: Salmonella enterica subsp. enterica serovar Brunei
Lineage: Bacteria; Pseudomonadati; Pseudomonadota; Gammaproteobacteria; Enterobacterales; Enterobacteriaceae
Description: partial 16S ribosomal RNA
Rfam family: Bacterial small subunit ribosomal RNA
Source: RNAcentral